CAGGUCACUCCUACGGGAGGCAGCAGUGGGGAAUAUUGGACAAUGGGCGCAAGCCUGAUCCAGCAAUGCCGCGUGUGUGAAGAAGGCCUUCGGGUUGUAAAGCACUUUUAUCAGGAGCGAAAUACUACUGGCUAAUAACCGGUGGGGCUGACGGUACCCGCAGAAGAAGCCCCGGCUAACUUCGUGCCAGCAGCCGCGGUAAUACGAAGGGGGCUAGCGUUGUUCGGAAUUACUGGGCGUAAAGGGCGCGUAGGCGGUCUGACAAGUUAGAUGUGAAAUUCCCGGGCUUAACCUGGGGGCUGCAUUUAAGACUGUCAGGCUUGAAUCCGGGAGAGGAUAGCGGAAUUCCCAGUGUAGAGGUGAAAUUCGUAGAUAUUGGGAAGAACACCAGUGGCGAAGGCGGCUAUCUGGACCGGUAUUGACGCUGAGGCGCGAAAGCGUGGGGAGCAAACAGGAUUAGAUACCCUGGUAGUCCACGCCGUAAACGAUGAGUGCUAGACGUCGGGAAGCUUGCUUUUCGGUGUCGACGCUAACGCAUUAAGCACUCCGCCUGGGGAGUACGGCCGCAAGGUUAAAACUUAAAGGAAUUGACG
This 593-nucleotide ribosomal RNA is filed under the name uncultured Alphaproteobacteria bacterium. RNAcentral describes it as "bacterial SSU rRNA". It matches the Rfam family "Bacterial small subunit ribosomal RNA", at positions 329 to 915 of the family's 1533-position model. Lineage: Bacteria; Pseudomonadati; Pseudomonadota; Alphaproteobacteria. The record is from RNAcentral.